Molecule: transfer-messenger RNA, 351 nt
Filed under: Pseudooceanicola atlanticus
Lineage: Bacteria; Pseudomonadati; Pseudomonadota; Alphaproteobacteria; Rhodobacterales; Paracoccaceae
Description: Alphaproteobacteria transfer-messenger RNA
Rfam family: Alphaproteobacteria transfer-messenger RNA
About the family: Bacterial tmRNA, also known as 10Sa RNA or SsrA, is named for its dual tRNA and mRNA-like properties. Its role is to liberate the mRNA from a stalled ribosome. To accomplish this part of the tmRNA is used as a reading frame that ends in a translation stop signal.
Source: Rfam by way of RNAcentral
CCCGUUGAAAAGCACCGGCCCAGCCCCUAUAUCUCGGCUGUCGGGCAACCGACUAUGGACAUAAACGCGCUCGUAAUAAGCGGCUCGGACCCGGGGGCGGUACCCGGCGGCUCCACCAAUCAUCCUUCGUUUGGGGAUCAUGGGGCCGAAAUAGGAUCGACGGACGUCUAAAGGGGUUUGCUUUGUCUCGGUGAGGUACCACCGUUACCGGUCCGAAAAGUACAAUUGCAAACGACAAUCGUGCUCCGGUUGCUCUGGCUGCGUAAGCAGUUCGAGGAAUCGAAACUUAAGCCCUAGGUUCUAGCAAAUCUAGGCGGGGUCCGCAGGCACCUGGCAACAGAAGCCUGCAUU